RNAcentral lists this non-coding RNA (29 nucleotides) under Homo sapiens (human). The record is from RNAcentral. Lineage: Eukaryota; Metazoa; Chordata; Mammalia; Primates; Hominidae.
UCCUUGGUUUUGACAAUGGUGUUCGGAAC